UAGCUCAGUUGGUAGAGCAGUUGACUUUUAAUCAAUUGGUCGCAGGUUCGGGUCUCACGUAGUGAGACAACGGAGCCGCUUGCGGCGACGGCCCGAAGGGCGAGCGAAGCGAGUCAUCCUGCACGACCCACCA
RNAcentral lists this transfer RNA (133 nucleotides) under Salmonella enterica. Its description in RNAcentral is "RtT sRNA". It matches the Rfam family "RtT RNA". From Rfam's summary of the family: This family represents a bacterial cis-regulatory element known as RtT RNA. The exact function of RtT is unknown although it is thought that it may be involved in changing the cellular response in relation to amino acid starvation. Lineage: Bacteria; Pseudomonadati; Pseudomonadota; Gammaproteobacteria; Enterobacterales; Enterobacteriaceae. RNAcentral also lists the same sequence under 1 other name. The record is from RNAcentral.